AAAAAAAAAAAAGAAAAAAGGAACAACCUUUUCUUGCCGUUAUGAAGGUUGAUUUGGAGGUCCCAGCAGCCAUUUAAACAGCAAUCUAACAAGUAAAUUAUCUUUUGAAUGAGUCGCUCACAUUAGAAGAUGAAGAUUGGGGUCCGCCACCCACCAAAAGUGGAGGAAGUCGACGCCACCUCAUUCUUAAUUGUUUUCAUAAAUUUUUCAACCACUUCCCUCCUUUCUUAGUACUACGUAUAUGUUUGCCUUUUUUUU
This 258-nucleotide unclassified non-coding RNA is filed under the name Hevea brasiliensis (rubber tree). The record is from RNAcentral. Lineage: Eukaryota; Viridiplantae; Streptophyta; Magnoliopsida; Malpighiales; Euphorbiaceae.